GUUUGCAUAUGUGUGCUGUGUCAGUGCUGCACACACUUUAAGAGCUGUAGUGCUGAUCAGAGUGUGUUCAGUCCUUUCAGAGCCACUGACACGCAGCACAAUGAUGAUGGUACUGAUUCUACUGCUGGGGACACUGGGACUCCUCGCUCACCAGUCCUUUGGGGAAAUCGUCAUGACUCAGUCUCCAGGAUCUCAGUCUGUUUCUCCAGGACAAUCUGUUACUCUCACCUGUACAUCCAGUCAGAGUGCUGGUGGUUGGCUCCACUGGUACCUGCAGAAACCUGGAGAAGCUCCUAAACUCCUGAUCUAUGCUGCAACUUCUCGUCAGUCUGGGAUUCCAGAUCGUUUCAGUGGCAGUGGAUCUGGUUCACAAUAUAAUCUAAAAAUCUCUGGAGUUCGGUCUGAAGAUGCAGGAGAUUAUUACUGUCAGCAGAGUAAUAGCCUUCCGUACACACAGUGUUAUAGCGUGGUACAAAAACCUCCCUCAGCUGUAGAGGAAGUGCUCUGACUCAGAAACACACACUGAUCUGAGAACAGCUGCAGAGCUGCUAAAGCUGCACUCCAC
Molecule: non-coding RNA, 565 nt
Organism: Ictalurus furcatus (blue catfish)
Lineage: Eukaryota; Metazoa; Chordata; Actinopteri; Siluriformes; Ictaluridae
Source: the annotation of a RefSeq genome assembly